This 492-nucleotide ribosomal RNA is filed under the name uncultured bacterium. RNAcentral's name for it is "partial 16S ribosomal RNA". It matches the Rfam family "Bacterial small subunit ribosomal RNA", at positions 29 to 507 of the family's 1533-position model. The record is from RNAcentral.
AGUGAACGCUGGCGGUAGGCCUAACACAUGCAAGUCGAACGGCAGCACAGUAAGAGCUUGCUCUUACGGGUGGCGAGUGGCGGACGGGUGAGGAAUACAUCGGAAUCUACUUUUUCGUGGGGGAUAACGCAGGGAAACUUACGCCAAUACCGCAUACGACCUACGGGUGAAAGCAGGGGAUCUUCGGACCUUGCGCGAGUGAAUGAGCCGAUGUCGGAUUAGUUAGUUGGCGGGGUAAAGGCCCACCAAGGCGACGAUCCGUAGCUGGUCUGAGAGGAUGAUCAGCCACACUGGAACUGAGACACGGUCCAGACUCCUACGGGAGGCAGCAGUGGGGAAUAUUGGACAAUGGGCGCAAGCCUGAUCCAGCCAUACCGCGUGGGUGAAGAAGGCCUUCGGGUUGUAAAGCCCUUUUGUUGGGAAAGAAAAGCAGCAGGUUAAUACCCCGCUGUUCUGACGGUACCCAAAGAAUAAGCACCGGCUAACUUCGUG